This is a long non-coding RNA of Chelmon rostratus (copperband butterflyfish), 3158 nucleotides long. RefSeq lists it as uncharacterized. The record is from RefSeq and is a predicted model, not a curated record. The transcript is spliced from 3 exons. NCBI's taxonomy places the organism in Eukaryota, Metazoa, Chordata, Actinopteri, Chaetodontiformes, Chaetodontidae.
CUCUGAGGCCCGCCUACUUCCUGGUCGGCUCACUUCCCCCUCGCCGCUGCUGGUGCAGAGUCAGAUUGUCGGACACCGUACCUACAUAGCAGCUCGCGGGAAUCCCCGUUUUGACAUGCUUGGGUUAUCGGCAGCCACUGUCUGCCACCGCAGCUUGCUUAACAUGAAGCUCCUCUCUCCUCUCCCACAUGUGUUCUGAUGCGGCCGAUCGGUGCUGGAAGCUUAUGGUGGCGGUCCUGGUAUCCUGGUGGUGGUGUCCCCCUUCUUGUGUGUCGUGCAACCCCUGGUCUUCGUUUUCGCCUUUUGUGUGUUUGUGCGUGUGAGUGUCACGAGUGACUGGGGUGCUUCUCACCUAUUGCCCCAGCACCCCCCCCACUGGUAAGCUUCAGCCCUGUCACCAUCCCUCCUUCACUUCCUGUCCUGAAUAUAUGGUAUUUUUUUACAAUAGAUAUUUUUAUUGAAUGUAAUAAAAAACAUUAUAAUUUACCAGAACCACGUCUCUUGCCUCAAGUAGAACGAACCUGAGUGCCUUGUGUUGGUACCAAAUUAACUAUUUCCCUGGGUGAAAUUCCCAGGGUGGCGUUGUCUGGCUCUUUUGGGCUGUUUCCAAACUUAACAGCUGUACCUUAUCCCAUUGUACGUGUCCGCCCGCCACAUAAUGUUAUCAAUCCCAUUGACAAUAAACCCAAAGCUACUUAAACAUGUUUGAAAUGAUUAAUAUAUAUAAUAAAUGAAUAAUUCCACUUUGCUGUGCCGCUGCCAAAUGACUUGCCUCACCACAAAGGGUCCACCAAGUGCUCAACAAAAUCCAGACUUUUGUGUGUCCUGGCUCCAGUACAGUCAUCUGUUUGCACUGUACCUCUGAACCCUCUUUAGCACUCAUUGCUUCAAUUUGUUGCAUUUCAAUGUUGCACUUGAAACAUUUAAUCUUAUUUGAUGAAGCUGAUGUGCUUGCAUGAUUUUUUUCAGUUUUAGGUUGUCUCCAUAUGGCUGAAUGCACUUUGUGGCUUUGGAUAAAUAAUUUGACCUCUUUAACAAAACAAAACUAUAUUUUGUCGACCUGUUUUUAAAGAUUUGUAUCUCCAAUAUGGGUUUUGGAGUCGAGUGCUUCAAGAAGUUAGAACGUGUUAAGAGAUGGCAGCUUUUGGACUCUUUGUGAGUUUAUUAUUUGGAUGAUUACUGCAGCAUAACACCAGCCUAAAGCAGAGGUCACACCAUAAAGUGGCAUUUAAACAGGAAGCUCUUGCCCUACAGGAGCUGGUGAGCUAACCGUUAACAAGCUAGCCAGCCCAGCCAGGCUAACGCCAGUCACAAUAGCUCCCAAAGCUGUUUUCUCUUGUCUUCCCACUUUUCUGUUUAAAUCCCCCUGACAAUUCAUUCAAUGAAGUUAUUGAAGAGGGAAAAUAAAGCUCUUCAAUGAGAUGGUCAGUUAGCAAACUAGCUUAGCUUGUUUGCUACCAUGACAAUAAGUUCACUCAGUUUGUUCAGAAGAUGUUCUUGUACCACCUUAUAAAAUUCUGCAAGUCAUUGUCCUUUUUGCAAAAAACACAUUAUGCUCCAACAGAGGAGGUCCAAUAAAAGAACGGUGCAACACAGCUAAUAAGCUAUAUUAGCUUCAUUACUUUUGGAUUCUCCAGCUCCCCGUCGCCUCAGAGGUCAACACUGUCAAGAUGGACCGCGAUUGGACACCGCAAGAUUUCGUCAUUUCAAAUCCUGGUCUGUCCAUGCAUGAAUGAAGGUAUCAGGACUGCAGCCAACUAGCAGAAUAAAAACUAUCCACAGCAAAACAAAGAUACCAUUAGCUUACCCAUACCAUACCCAUUAGCUUGUUUCUGUGUUCUGUCAACGUUUAAAGAGCUGGCCGACUGAUGCUUUAAGCCAAGUUUACAGUAUGUGUGCGUGCCAUAUAGUGUGGUCUUCGGCGGGUGAGGUGCUGGAAAUAAUUACAGAGCCUUCAGGAAGAAUAAAGGUCUACAUUUAAUCAAACGCAGGGGGGAAGGCGAGGUGAUAAAUUUGACAGUGUGUCCUUCAACACUUAGAUGAGGUGGCUAAUGAACUGUGCCAAAGAAAGUUUACUAUCAAAGAAAAUAAGCAAAUAUUCACAUUUGAGAAGCCUGAGGUUUUGGCAUUUUUGCUCCAACAUAACGAGUUUGGCAACAAUCACCAUUCAAAAGAACACAUGAUAAACAGCUUCAGUGGCUGGAUGCCACACAGUCCUUUUCCUGGAAGUCAUGAAGCUGAUAUCUGGGAAAUGGAUGCAGUUUUUGCUUAAGUGAAAACAGUGCCGUGUCAACAAGAGGUGCGAGGGGCAGUAGUAAUGAUCCGGGUGGUAAAGGAUGUUUUUGUAGCCGUGUAAGUGGCCGAUUCAACUCGGAGGGAAAAAGGGGCAGUUCGACUUAAAUGCACAAUUAACCUGUCCCUCUCUUCGCCAUUUUUUUUUAUCUUUGAGGCAUUGCCUCUAAACACCAUGACGCUCUCUGACACCCACUUAAUCUGUACACAUAGCCAGAUGUCACCACACAGCAGGUACCAAGGGAAGUAAGAAUGAGAACAAAACACACAAAAAAAACAGGAAACUGAGCAGCUGGUUGAGAUAAUCACAUCUGUCUUUCAACAGACACAUGUCAUGUUACGUGCUCCCGAAUGCAAGUCAUAAACAUCACGAUGAGAUACGGUAAAACAUCAUGUGCGUGAAACCACAGAAACAUUUAAAGUUAGAUGUGUAAGUGCUGUAUAACAGGCGUUAAACACAUUUCAUGUAAGUGUUUGUCCAGUGUCAUUUAGUGUUGUCUGUGUUACUCUUGCUGUCAGAGAAUCCAUGCCAUAGCCCUAUGUCACUAUUGAGUGUUUUUCUUUGUUCGUGUCAAUGCCACGUUCCAUGUAAGAGAGUUUCUAAUGUUGUCUUUGUCUGUAGUCAUGCCACAUUUCUGGUAAAUGUUUGUCCCGUGUCUUUAGUGUUUGUUAGCCCUGCUAUGCCUCUUAAAAGUGUAUUAAAAUUGUCCUUGUUCCCAAGCCAUGCCCAGUUUAUGAUAUUGUUUCUUUAGUGUUGUCUACGUCUCUAAUCAAGCCACGUUCCUUGUGUGUGUUUCUUGUGAGCUGUCUUAGUAUUUAACCACAUCAUGUUUCUAGUAUGUGCUUGUCUAGUGUUGUCUUUUGUC